This 264-nucleotide ribosomal RNA is filed under the name uncultured archaeon. RNAcentral describes it as "partial 16S ribosomal RNA". It matches the Rfam family "Archaeal small subunit ribosomal RNA", at positions 717 to 982 of the family's 1478-position model. The record is from RNAcentral.
ACACGACUACAUUAGAUACCCGGGUAGUCCUAGCCGUAAACGAUACUCGCUAGGUGUCGGCCACGGUGCGACCGUUGUCGGUGCCGUAGGGAAGCCGUGAAGCGAGCCACCUGGGAAGUACGGCCGCAAGGCUGAAACUUAAAGGAAUUGGCGGGGAGCACCACAACGGGUGGAGCUCGCGGUUUAAUUGGAUUCAACGCCGGAAAUCUUACCGGGACCGACAGCAACAUGAAGGCCAGGCUGAAGACUUUGCCGGAUUAGCUG